GUUACUUUAAAAAAAAUAACAGUGACAGAUGUGCAGACUCAGGAAUACAUGGAAAUUUAAAAUACUAACGAUCAUGACACUUCUCUAUGCUUCUGUUUGCCCAGUCUCGUUUGUACCGCUGAAAGAAACGGAUACAGAAACCAUCCCAGAUGACAACAACUACAAUCCAGCUGCAGACUACAUUGACACCAUCAAAUGGUCUGUCACCCUACUGUUUGAUCAACGAGGAAUGAUACCCAGGGGAACAGCCGUGUAUCCUCAUCCCUUUAUGGAUCCGGCAGAGGGCUUUGCAUCAAGACAGACCUGACCUCCAGUCAGUAUGUUCCCUUCUUUUCUUACCAAUAUCUGCCAAUCCGAACAAAAAGAAAACCGGCAGCCUGAAUGUGCUUGACUCAUGAGCUGAAUCUUACACACACCCAGCUCCUGAGAACACCGGGAUCAUAAAGGUAAAAACCACAACCCCAGCAAUAGCUGGAUAAUGAGCCUGCAGUCACGACAGGGUCAAGCAGGGUCAAUGGUUGGUGCUAAUUCUGGAUAAUGCUAUUGGUAUUCGAAGUAGAGCUGGAAGCUUUGUGGAAACUGACAUGGGGAACCACAUUUUAGUCAGUUAGUGGAGCUCCACAGGCAAGGUACAAAAAAACGACCCUCAGAGCAUCACUUCAAUGAGAUGUGUCACCUCGAUGUCAUGAGGGCAGCAGACUGUGCGGUGGUGUUCUUGUAUCCCGACAACAGGCAAGAAGCCCGUCCAGUGUUCUGUUUUAGGACCUGUCCUGCAACUGAGUGACACACAAUGCAUGAGUAGCCUGUUAGGUCACUCUAGCCUCUGCUUUACCUCUGUUUUACUGUGACAGCCACUAGCUCUUUCCCUUGACACAUCUGCUAGAUCAUGAUUUGCGCUACUGUUAUUGACAUGGUCAUAAUAAACAAAAAGGUUGUUACACUCUUGCUGAAGUGAUCUUGCAAAGGUGGGUGAAUCUGUGCUAAUUGAGGCUAAAGGUGAAAAGAAGAGGCAGAAAACGCACAGUGUACUCACAGCGAACAUGGCAGCAAAGUUAGCAUACAUGAAUCAUUCAGGACACAAGAAGAGCACUUUAUAAUCAUCAGAAAAAGCUGAAGCACUUCGGUCACAAUGUUGCCACUAUGAUUGCAACAAAAAAAAUCCUGUCUGCUCCCAGCAGUCAAAGGGAAAAAAAUGACAGCCUCAUGAAAUUAUUCAUUCGUGGGGUUUGUCUGUCUUUUUUUGGGAGACCAAAAACAGUGCAGUGCUGCCAGUGAGAAAUAGCUGUAAGUCGAUGUGAAAUGUCCUUAUAGCCUUGGACUUCUUCAGUUUAUGUGACAACUCAAAACUAAGCCGAGACAAACCGUUCUGCAUAAAGGUUUGUGGAGGUAAAUUUACAUCAGAGUGGCAUCUUACCCUUUUCUUACACAUUACUUUAUUGCGAUUAUAUUCUGAUUGUUGUUCAUAUUUAAACACAGACGGUCAUAUAACUCCACAUACAAGAGGGAUAAUAUAUAGGGCUGGGCAGGUAUAUAAAUCUAAUCAUAUAACAUGGAGUGAAAAUAUCAUGACCCCAAAAUUUCAGAACAGAAAACAUGCAGAAUAACACAAUUUUGCUUGAAACAGAUUAACAACAUUUAGUUAGAUGUACUUUUUCAGAAUUAACAUAUUGAUUCUUGCAGUCAUACCAUCCUUAAUGACAUUUAAUAUUUUAAAAGAAGCAAAAAUAUUUGAGUGAGCACUGCUAAAUUUAGUUCUCCAUUGUUUUGUUUUGUUUUUUUGUUUGUUUGUUUGGGUUUUUUUUGUGCUGAAUAUUGUGUCUUUUGGCUGCUCUGCUCCUUACGGAGUAGCAGUUAGACUUGCCAGGCUGCAGUUAGCUCCAAAACAGAAAUGCCAACUACAGUUUUACAACAGCAAUACCUCAACAUGUGUGAUGGAUGGUGCUUAUUUCGUUUCUAUGCCAUGAGUGUCUGUCUCUUUUGAACACUGAAUAGCUUUUUUUUUAUUCUGUUUUAUAAAAGGUAAAAAAAAAAUGAAACAUUGGUAGUGCAAAGUGGCAACAGGUGAGUGAGGGGUAGCUUUGUGUUACUUCAUGCCCCUUUAACUUGUAUGUUCUUAGGGUCUUUUUCUGGUGCUCUGUAAAUUGUCACAAACAAGUUAAAAACCUUAAUUUGCAUUAUUAAGAGACAUUUAAGUUUCAGACUUUUUAAUGUGCAUGUUCCUACAAUUGUGAUUUCUCAAGUGGUGACAUAAUUUGUUGGGUUAAUAAAACAAUUCCAGUAUUUAUUGCAA
Molecule: long non-coding RNA, 2290 nt
Organism: Gambusia affinis (western mosquitofish)
Lineage: Eukaryota; Metazoa; Chordata; Actinopteri; Cyprinodontiformes; Poeciliidae
Exons: 2
Source: RefSeq, a predicted model, not a curated record